UCAAGUGGUAGGCCUGUAAAUCCUGUCAUCUGCUCAUUAUUGGUGUUAAUGGUGUUUUUCACAUGCAUACUUUUUAUGCUAGUUUCAUUCUCAAAUAGAUCUGAUACUUUAGUUUCAACAAAUCUUUAAUAAACAAAUAGUUCACUUUUUUUAGGUCCUGACUGCCACCAGUUGAGUCAAUGAUUCUGUGGAGAGACAGUCUGGGCAGCAGCAACAAGACAACUAUUACAAAUAGAGACGGGUUUCAAAAACUGGUACUAAUUUGGUUCCUGACUUGUUCAAUACUGAAAAGAAUGAUAUAAGCUACAGGAUCAAUAGUGCUGCUAUCAGUAUUCUUGUAACGUUGAUUCAUUAACCUUUAGACACAACCACAUAUCAUCUAAAUCAUCUCCAAGUGGAUGUCAUCAAGGAUCCAGGAUCAAGAGAUCAUUCUUCAUGAAGACUGUUCCAUAGGAAGCAGUGAAUCCUGGGUGAAAAAGUAAACCUGGUUGUUUCAGCAUCACUCAGGCAAGACUAAAUACAUUUAAAUUGAUUUCAGUUUGUUAUAUGUUUCAGGUCAUCCUGACCAUUCUGCUGUCCUGGACGUGAGGAUAUGGUGAAACUGCAUUUUUCAUGGUUAAAAGAUUUGUGCAGCAGUAUCCAGAUAUACAAACAGCCUUCCUGGACCCACACGACUAAAGGCUCCGGAGGAGAGACAGGGAAAGAUGAAAAAUAAGGAAGUCUGGGAACAACUGAAGAAGACAGCAGUGAGGAAAGGAAGUAAUCAUCAGAAUCUCAGAGAAGGAUAUUGACAGUGCAGGCUCAGGAUGAAGAAGAGGGGAAGAACACGUUUAACAAUUUUCUCAUACCUUUGCCAUGUGUUAAAA
Long non-coding RNA from Cyprinus carpio (common carp), 866 nucleotides. RefSeq lists it as uncharacterized. The record is from RefSeq and is a predicted model, not a curated record. The transcript has 4 exons. Lineage: Eukaryota; Metazoa; Chordata; Actinopteri; Cypriniformes; Cyprinidae.